UUUAAUAGUUGCAUAUGGGUUGUUUUGCAGGUUUACAAAGGAUGGAGUGUUAGCUUCCAUUUCAUCACCAAGUUUACAAUUUUGAUGAAACAACACAAAAGGUACAUUUUUUUUGUUUACUUAUAUCUGAUUCAUCCAUCAUCUAUAAUCAUCAUAUUAGUUUUUUAAAUCAACUUAUGUUACUAGACCUUGGGUAACCAUAUUAAAAAUCAUUUUAGGUUAUUAGACCUCAGCAAUUUAAUGAUUUCUUAUUACUUGAUCAGAUUUCAUUGAUUGUUUGUAGUUUUGGUGAAUUAUAGUGUUGUUGGUUGAUUCCAUACGAGUAAGCGACUGUUUCUUUUUUAUUUUAUUGGCUAAGCACUUGAUAUUGACCCCAUUAAAGGUUUUUUUCCUGAAAAACACCCUCACUUUUACACCAGUCAUGAUAGGCAUCAGAGUAAACUAUCAAAGAAGCAUCGAACUCUUAAUGUUUUCUUGGUAGUUGGUGAUUGUAUCUUAGUUGGAUUACAGCCAAUUUUGGUGUACAUAUGUAAGAUGGAUGGGAAGUUGAGCUUUAAUGCUAUUAGUGUGAAUUUUUUGACAGAAGUUGCAAAGGUUACAAAUUAGAAGGCUGGAGGCAAGCCACUUCUUUCAGUCCCCGAUUUUAUACAGGUUUGUCUUGAGGGAAGGUCUGCUGGACAAUGGUAACUAAACAUGAUUAAGAAAACCAUUGAUGAAGGUUCAACUUUUCAUUGUGUUGGUUCUUGACAAUGCUCAUUGGAGUAUGCUGGUUAAAAUUUUCAGUUGUUAUUUUCCUAUUUCUUUUGGCUCUUUUGUAAAUGAUGAAACAUCCAAAAAAAACAUCAAGCUUCUAUAAUAAUCGACGGCCUCCAAUCCUCGCAGCGCGGGGUUUCA
This is a long non-coding RNA of Lactuca sativa (garden lettuce), 894 nucleotides long. RefSeq lists it as uncharacterized. Lineage: Eukaryota; Viridiplantae; Streptophyta; Magnoliopsida; Asterales; Asteraceae. The record is from RefSeq and is a predicted model, not a curated record.